AUGAAUCUUACUGUUCAAUCACCCACUUCCCACACGCAACAAUAGCUCAUGGGUACCACAGAUAACUUUGCCAAAGUUCUCUGCCAAAGUUGAGCACGUGAAGCUUGCAGCUCCCACUACAUCGCUCUGACCAAGAAAGGUAAAAGAAUAGCAAAGAAACAACACUAACAAAGUUUAGACACAUAAAUUUUGAAGUUCUAGCUACCAUAUUAUUACCCACAAGGGUAAAGGAACAAUACCACUGCUGGAUAAUUGGAAAGUCCUUGUUUGUCAACCUCUGUGCUUCGUGGCAAGGUAGAGACUAGCAAACAUGCCCAACCUUUACUCACAUUCGAGAAAACACUCCCAACAAGAUUGCUUGCUCCAAAAUCGAAGAGACACCGUCCUUCGAACCUCGAGAGCCAGACUCCCAACAUGACUACUUUCUCAAAAUCGAAGAGAGGGUAAAGGAACAGUACCAUUGCUGGAUAAUUGGAAAGUCCCUGUGUGUGUCAACCUUUGUGCUUCGUGGCAAGGUAGACUAACAAACAUG
RNAcentral lists this long non-coding RNA (532 nucleotides) under Malus domestica (apple). RNAcentral describes it as "long non-coding RNA (MDOM_LNC003555)". The record is from RNAcentral. Lineage: Eukaryota; Viridiplantae; Streptophyta; Magnoliopsida; Rosales; Rosaceae.